ACACGUGGCCGACGCGGGUCAAAGUGUAGUACCUGUUCUUAUCAGCUCGAUAUCUGCCACGGGUUGUAUUUGGACCCAAGAUAUUAAACUUAUUUUUGCAAGUCGGCGGAGUGCUUGAGGCCUGCUUCACCUCCGCCGCGGGUCGACCCGGCAUUGCACUAUCUUCGGGAUCGGCUCGCGGUUU
This is a small nuclear RNA of Dermacentor andersoni, 184 nucleotides long. RefSeq annotates it as U2 spliceosomal RNA. NCBI's taxonomy places the organism in Eukaryota, Metazoa, Arthropoda, Arachnida, Ixodida, Ixodidae. The record is from RefSeq and is a predicted model, not a curated record.